GCGGGUGUAGUUCAAUGGUAGAACACAGGCCUUCCAAGCCUGAUAUGGCGGUUCGAUCCCGCUCGCCCGCUCCA
This 74-nucleotide transfer RNA is filed under the name Candidatus Omnitrophota bacterium. RNAcentral's name for it is "Candidatus Omnitrophica bacterium tRNA-Gly". It matches the Rfam family "tRNA". Rfam says of the family: Transfer RNA (tRNA) molecules are approximately 80 nucleotides in length. Their secondary structure includes four short double-helical elements and three loops (D, anti-codon, and T loops). Further hydrogen bonds mediate the characteristic L-shaped molecular structure. tRNAs have two regions of fundamental functional importance: the anti-codon, which is responsible for specific mRNA codon recognition, and the 3' end, to which the tRNAs corresponding amino acid is attached (by aminoacyl-tRNA synthetases). tRNAs cope with the degeneracy of the genetic code in two manners: having more than one tRNA (with a specific anti-codon) for a particular amino acid; and 'wobble' base-pairing, i.e. permitting non-standard base-pairing at the 3rd anti-codon position. Lineage: Bacteria; Pseudomonadati; Candidatus Omnitrophota. The record is from RNAcentral.